RNAcentral lists this ribosomal RNA (750 nucleotides) under uncultured bacterium. Its description in RNAcentral is "bacterial SSU rRNA". It matches the Rfam family "Bacterial small subunit ribosomal RNA", at positions 42 to 799 of the family's 1533-position model. The record is from RNAcentral.
GCGUAGGUAUUAAUGGCCAGUCGAAACGGACUUCUAUUUGAAACCUAAGUGAUUUAUGAGUUAGUGGGCGGACGGGUGAGUAACGCGUGGAUAACCUGCCGUAUACCGGGGGAUAACACUUAGAAAUAGGUGCUAAUACCGCAUAAGCGCACGGCUCCGCAUGGGGCAGUGUGAAAAACUCCGGUGGUAUACGAUGGAUCCGCGUCUGAUUAGCUAGUUGGCGGGGUAACGGCCCACCAAGGCAGCGAUCAGUAGCCGGCCUGAGAGGGUGGACGGCCACGUUGGGACUGAGACACGGCCCAAACUCCUACGGGAGGCAGCAGUGGGGAAUACUGCACAAUGGGGGAAACCCUGAUGCAGCGACGCCGCGUGAGUGAAGAAGUAUCUCGGUACGUAAAGCUCUAUCAGCAGGGAAGAAAAUGACGGUACCUGACUAAGAAGCCCCGGCUAACUACGUGCCAGCAGCCGCGGUAACACGUAGGGGGCAAGCGUUAUCCGGAUUUACUGGGUGUAAAGGGAGCGUAGACGGCAGCACAAGUCUGGAGUGAAAUCCCGGGGCUUAACCCCGGAACUGCUUUGGAAACUGUGCGGCUGGAGUGCAGGAGGGGUAAGCGGAAUUCCUAGUGUAGCGGUGAAAUGCGUAGAUAUUAGGAGGAACACCGGUGGCGAAGGCGGCUUACUGGACUGUAACUGACGUUGAGGCUCGAAAGCGUGGGGAGCAAACAGGAUUAGAUACCCUGGUAGUCCACG